AGCAGCCGCGGUAAUUCCAGCUCCAAUAGCGUAUAUUAAAGUUGUUGCAGUUAAAAAGCUCAUAGUUGAAUUUCGGAAUCAAUAUGCUGGUCGUGCCAUUGGUACGUACUAGUAUUAUUGGUUUCUCCCUUCUGAUGAAUCAUGAUGUCAUUAAUUUGAUGUCAUGGGGAAUCAGGACUGUUACUUUGAAAAAUUAGAGUGUUUAAAGCAGGCUCGCGCUUGAAUACAUUAGCAUGGAAUAAUGAAAUAGGACGUUUGAUUCUAUUUGUUGGUUUCUAGGAUUGACGUAAUGAUUAAUAGGGAUAGUUGGGGGCAUUAGUAUUCAAUUGUCAGAGGUGAAAUUCUUGGAUUUAUUGAAGACUAACUACUGCGAAAGCAUUUGCCAAGGAUGUUUUCAUUAAUCAAGAACGAAAGUUAGGGGAUCGAAGACGAUCAGAUACCGUCGUAGUC
RNAcentral lists this ribosomal RNA (450 nucleotides) under uncultured Glomus. RNAcentral describes it as "SSU rRNA". It matches the Rfam family "Eukaryotic small subunit ribosomal RNA", at positions 569 to 1025 of the family's 1831-position model. Lineage: Eukaryota; Fungi; Glomeromycota; Glomeromycetes; Glomerales; Glomeraceae. The record is from RNAcentral.